RNAcentral lists this long non-coding RNA (845 nucleotides) under Melopsittacus undulatus (budgerigar). Its description in RNAcentral is "lncRNA (ENSMUNG00000006191.2)". The record is from RNAcentral. Lineage: Eukaryota; Metazoa; Chordata; Aves; Psittaciformes; Psittaculidae.
UAGCUUCCAGCAGCAUUUGUGAGCUGCCUACCUGCGGCUAUGGCAAAAUAGUCCUUACCAUAAACCUCUUGGGUAGGUUGCAGCUAUGGGGUGCAGGAGCAGCUGUCCUGGCCAUGCAAGUGGCACAGAGUACUCUGCCUGCUUCUGGGGUGGCCUCCAAGUACUGAGGAAUUUUCAUCUUCCGGAGAGCAGGAAUCCUUAAAUCUUUGUAGCGGUAAAGAGGAGGCAACAUUGGUGUCUGCUGACUUUCCCCUCUGUUUCUUUCCAGGAAUUAAGAAGCUAAAGGUCAUUCCACAGAAUUUCUCCAUCCCUGGAAGACUUUGCCUUGGGACUGCAGCUGCAAGAUUGAUCCCUUAGUAUGCAGCAUAAGCACGGUCAUUCUGAAGGCAGUCUUACAAGGAACAGUGGGAAGUUUCUGUGCAGAACAGGAUUCUUGGAGAGGAUGCACCACUGCCAGGAUAUGGUGCUCUUCAAUGAAAGGUUGAACAAACUACCACUGCGUAGCCUAACGGAGCAAAAAAGAUGAGGUGUUUGGUUUACUUGCGGGGCAACAGAAGUUACUCUGCAGUUUGCAGUGCGGGUGAGCAGCAAAACAGCUUGUGGAAUUUCUGAACACACCCUGGCUCCUGUGGUUACUUUCGAUUCUCAGGACUGAGGUAACAUCAUCCUCCUAGCCUUUCAUUUCUGUGUUCCUGUUCUUCUGUUGUUGUUUUUAAAUAACAAUUGCUCUGGGUUUGCUAUUUAAAUAACAAAUGCAAGUGUUCUUGCAAAUCUUUGGCUGCCCAAGAGCUUCCGCUGGUAAUCUGCUCUUAAAAGUGUGCCAAGUCAUUCCCUGGGCAAGUUUC